This 924-nucleotide ribosomal RNA is filed under the name uncultured Bacteroidota bacterium. Its description in RNAcentral is "bacterial SSU rRNA". It matches the Rfam family "Bacterial small subunit ribosomal RNA", at positions 1 to 917 of the family's 1533-position model. Lineage: Bacteria; Pseudomonadati; Bacteroidota. The record is from RNAcentral.
UGGAUCCAGACCUUUAUUCUGGCUCAGGAUGAACGCUAGCUACAGGCUUAACACAUGCAAGUCGAGGGGCAGCGGGAUUGAAGCUUGCUUCAAUUGCCGGCGACCGGCGCACGGGUGAGUAACGCGUAUCCAACCUUCCGUACACUCAGGGAUAGCCUUUCGAAAGAAAGAUUAAUACCUGAUAGUAUCUUAAGCACACAUGUAAUUAAGAUUAAAGAUUUAUCGGUGUACGAUGGGGAUGCGUUCCAUUAGGUAGUAGGCGGGGUAACGGCCCACCUAGCCAACGAUGGAUAGGGGUUCUGAGAGGAAGGUCCCCCACAUUGGAACUGAGACACGGUCCAAACUCCUACGGAAGGCAGCAGUGAGGAAUAUUGGUCAAUGGACGAGAGUCUGAACCAGCCAAGUAGCGUGAAGGAUGACUGCCCUAUGGGUUGUAAACUUCUUUUAUACGGGAAUAAAGUGAGCCACGUGUGGCUUUUUGUAUGUACCGUAUGAAUAAGGAUCGGCUAACUCCGUGCCAGCAGCCGCGGUAAUACGGAGGAUCCGAGCGUUAUCCGGAUUUAUUGGGUUUAAAGGGAGCGUAGGCGGGUUGUUAAGUCAGUUGUGAAAGUUUGCGGCUCAACCGUAAAAUUGCAGUUGAUACUGGCGACCUUGAGUGCAACAGAGGUAGGCGGAAUUCGUGGUGUAGCGGUGAAAUGCUUAGAUAUCACGAAGAACUCCGAUUGCGAAGGCAGCUUACUGGAUUGUAACUGACGGUGAUGCUUGAAAGUGUGGGUAUCAAACAGGAUUAGAUACCCUGGUAGUCCACACAGUAAACGAUGAAUACUCGCUGUUGGCGAUAUACAGUCAGCGGCCAAGCGAAAGCAUUAAGUAUUCCACCUGGGGAGUACGCCGGCAACGGUGCAACUCAAAGGAAUUGACGGA